Molecule: ribosomal RNA, 229 nt
Filed under: uncultured bacterium
Lineage: Bacteria
Description: partial 16S ribosomal RNA
Rfam family: Bacterial small subunit ribosomal RNA
Source: RNAcentral
GACAGAGGGUGCAAACGUUGUUCGGAAUUACUGGGCGUAAAGCGCGUGUAGGCGGCCCUGCAAGUCGGGUGUGAAAUCCCACGGCUCAACCGUGGAAGUGCACUCGAAACUGCAGGGCUAGAGUCCUGGAGAGGAAGGUGGAAUGCUUGGUGUAGAGGUGAAAUUCGUAGAUAUCAAGCGGAACACCGGUGGCGAAGGCGGCCUACUGGACAGUCGACUGACGCUGAGA